CUUCGGUUGCAUAGUUGUGAUCGCGGAGGAAGCUGUUGUUGAUUUUGCGGGUGUCUAUUUCUUCAUCCAUUUACAGCAGACUUGCUUGCUUGGGAACCAGU
Alosa sapidissima (American shad) is the source of this 101-nucleotide long non-coding RNA. RefSeq lists it as uncharacterized. The record is from RefSeq and is a predicted model, not a curated record. NCBI's taxonomy places the organism in Eukaryota, Metazoa, Chordata, Actinopteri, Clupeiformes, Clupeidae. The transcript is spliced from 4 exons.